UCAAGCAAUAUCUGUAAGGAGACGCACUUCCUUGUUUGGAUAAUUCAAGCGGCAUUUGUGAGGAGACGCACUUCCUUGUUUUGAUAACUCAAGCAAAAUUGGAGCCCGCCCGAAGCACAAGGCGAAUAAAUGGAAUGUCAAAUAACAAAAUGAAGAAAUUAAAAGUCAGGCAACAAGUUAAAGAAAUUGCAAGUCAGGAGCCCACCUGAAGAAUAGGGUGAUAAAACUCAAGUCAAAAGUCCAAAAGAAACCGCAUAGAGAGGACUUUUGUAAUUUCAUUUAUGUUUUAACUUGUAAUUUUUGUUUUGAUGUAAUGACAGAGCCGCAGAUCGGAACCUCGACAGAACCUCGCUCGACUCUCCAACUCGGUAUAGUCCCUCUUCUUUCAGUCCUUGGGAUACCUGUGACUUGAUUCCCCCAUAACUAGGGAUAAGUAUGAUUUCCAAAGUCAAGACUUGGUUUUCCUCCUUCUUUCUAUUUCAUUCUUUUUGAAUAAUAGUUGGGACAAAAUUUUAUCUCGUUGUCUACUUCUUUGUUUGAAAACACUUCAUGUUUACAUUCAAAGGGGGCAUGUCGUAGAUACCUAAUUUUAUCCCUCCCAAGUCUAAUUUUAUUCAUUUUUACCUCACUUUAUUGUACACCCUCAUCCAUAUAAUUAUACCCUACAAAAAAAUAAUAACAACCCUUAACAUAAUCCUUAACAAAUUUUAUCUUGUUUUAAUUCUAUCCUAACCAACUUUACACCUCAUCCUAAUAACUUACCCAAUCAAAAUAGACACCUCACUCAUGGACCCCACAUUCCAUCAAUAUAAUUUCCAUUCACUGGAAUAGAUUAGGGGAGGCCUUUUUUUCCUUUCUCUUUGGACUUCUUAUCCAUUUUUCCAAAAACACACAGGUACAGGGGAUUUUCUUUUCUUCUUGACCAAUCCAUAUACACAGAAUAUACACACCACUGGAUUCUUUUUUUUCUCAACAUAGAACACACCGCGCCAUUUUUUUCCUUUUCUUAUUCACUGAUCACCACAAAAUCCCCAAUUCCACUGGCAUAGCAUUUUCACCAGCUCACUGAAAACUCAAAAAAUACACACAGUAAGAGGAAGAGAGGAGAGUGAGAGUAAGAGAUGGAGAGAGGCAUAGAGAGUUAAAAGAGAAACUGUGAGAAAUCGUUGAAGGUAAGAGAGAUUUAAGCAAACCAGAGAGAUUGAGAGAGAGACAGAGAGGCAAUUGGACUGCUUUCCGACAAAGCUCUCGCUGGUGACUCACUAGAAUUGCCACCGAGAAAGCUCCGCUAAUCUCGUUCCAACCAUGCUCGCAUCAAGAAGUUAAUACCGAUCCCGAUUUUCCAUCUGAAUCUCGUCGAAAAAUUCUGUUUCGUCCCAAUCAAUUCACCGUAAUCAGUUUUGGGUUCACUUUCUUGAUACCGAGUUGGAUUCUUGAUCGUGAUGGAGGGUUUUGUUCGAGGAUUUUGGAUGCGGAUUCUACCAGGUUAAUCGAAAUAAUACAUCGAUUUUUGAAAGCACUGAGGUCCAAUUCUAUCUCCUCUUUUUUUAAUUUUUACGUAAUCGUGAAUGAUUUAUGUGUUGGUAUGUUUGAAUCUUGAUUGUGUAUUGGUUGAUGUUGGAUUUGAAUGUUGAAAAAUGAAUUGAUAAUCGAUGCAUGUGUUAAUCAUUGGUUGAGAAUGAAUUUGGAGCGGAAUUGAAAAAUUGCUAAUCUUAAUUAGGAUUAAUUUUAAUUUUUUUGUUGUUUUGAUUCAUUGACGUCGUCGAUCGUGAUAGUGCCAUGAUAGAUCGAGUUGGGUAGGCAAAUAGUAGGUUCGGGUUGGCAAGUUUUAGGAAUUGUGGAAUGUUGAAUGCUCGAAACAUGUGUUGAAUGGCUUGGUUUUAUUGCUUUUGGAUCAAAUGUAUUAUUUGGCGGAAAAUGCCCUGAGAUAUUUGUGUUUAUUCGCCGGGAAAUGCCCCGCGGUAUUUUGUACUCGGAAGACGCCCGUGACGAAGGAUCGAGGCAUCAGGUAAAGCACUGGAGCAUAGUUUAGGAUUAGUGUAGGUUAGAAUAGGAUUUAUUUUUUCGCAUUUUUUAUUUUGAACUGUAUAAUUGGACUGAACACUAUAUUUUGGAUUUGUUUUGUUUCGUGUUUGAUUGAUUGUUUAUGUGUUUUUGUGUGGUUUAUACAUUUGUAAUGUCAAAUUAGCUGAUAUGCUCCACCAAGCGACCGUGGGCGAACCAUGGGAUCGAGGGAUGCCUAACACCUUCCCCUCGGUCAACAGAAUUUCUUAGCCGGAAUCUUUGUCGCAAACCAGUUUUGUAAAGAGUCAAAUCAUUUCGAAAAGGAUUCUCCAAAGGUGACUUGGCACACCGGAUUAUGUCAAGUGACGACUCUGAAUAAAAAAUAUAAAUAAUUCUUUUUCGAAAUAAAUCCUCAUUUUUGUCACUUUAAUAAAUAAAAUCCUUUCGAAACCCAUAAAAAUAAUUUUUCUUGGAGUUAAAAAGGGGUGUGACAUAUACAGUUACUUAAUAAUAAAAAUGAUACUUCCUUCAUCCCAUUUUACUCGUCUAAGAUUUCUUAAUUUAAUUUUUUAUUUUACUUGUCAUUUUUCAUUAAUCAAGACAAGACAACUUUUUCUUUUCUUUUUUACCCUUAGUAUUAAUUAUUUUUUUCUCCAAAUUAAAAUGUAAACAUAAUUUAAUAGGGAUGCGAUGGUAAAGUAGGUAUGUUAUUAAUUAUUUUUCUUAAUCAAUAUGCAAUGCCAAAUUGAGACGAGUAAAAUGAGACGGAGGAAGUAUAAAAAAAUGUAAAAAUCUUUCGUGCUUUACUAAAAUUAAUAAGUAAAAAGUAAUUAAUUUCAAUAUAAGAAAUAAAUAAAAAGAAACAAGGUGAGAUUUAUUAAAAAAAUAAAUUACUACUGUGUCUCAUUCAAUUACAAGGGUCCAAAUAGAAAAUAAUAGAAUAAUAAGCGAGAACAAAUGAUUCAAUCCGUGUUGUUUGGCAUGCAGGCCUAUUGGGCUCAAUUCUUUACAAUUCCUACUAAAGUUGUCAAAGUGAUUGAUGCGUAUUGUCAGAGUUAUAUGUGGUAUGGGGCAAACACAAUCACUAAAAAGGCAUUAGUAGCAUGGGAUAAGGUUUGCUCACCUAUUGCCACAGGAGGACUAAAUCUGAUUAACUAGAGAUUCUGGAACAAAAUUGUUAUUGCAAGAUGUAGACAAUAAAGCGGACAAAUGGGUGAGAUGGGUUCAUACAUGCUAUAUAAAAGACAGACUUUUCAAUGAGGUUCCUAAGGCAUCUUGGAUGAUCAAACAAAUCAUAUCUGCUAGAGACAUUGUUGCUUUAGUUUGUCAGGUUUCAACUUUCUCUCAUAACCUCAUCAAACAUUUCUACCAUGCUCUCCUUCCUGUUGAACCAUCUACGCCUUGGAAAUGCUUGAUGUUUGAGUAUGAUGCACGAUCAAGGCAAAAUUUACUAUGUGGCUUCAUUUUCAUGGGAUAUUACUAACUAUGGACAGACUUCUUAAAUGGAGUCUCAAAAUUUCUCCUACUUAUGUUCUAUGUCUAAUGCAAGAUGAAACUAAGGAUCAUCUUUUCCUUUCUUGCCCUUUUGCAAGACCCUCUGGACUCGGGUGCUUCGCUAGAUACAUAAAGAUGCAAUCACUAUAAGUACAUGGGAGGACUAUACAACGUGGGUCGUAAAGAAUGCUAAAGGAAAAUCUCAAGAAGCAAGAAUAUAAUCUUCAAACUUGUCUUUGUUAAAUGUGUACACUCUCUCUGGAUUGAAAGAAACCGAAGAAUAUUUGAGGAAAAACAGAGGACAUGUGACAGCCUUGCAAAAGAAUUAGCCCACACCUACAUUACUAGAGAUAAACCAACAAUCAGUACUCUUCUGCAUAAUUUUCAUUUUUGGCUAGCUUGACUAUUG
Molecule: long non-coding RNA, 3907 nt
Organism: Capsicum annuum
Lineage: Eukaryota; Viridiplantae; Streptophyta; Magnoliopsida; Solanales; Solanaceae
Exons: 2
Source: RefSeq, a predicted model, not a curated record